RNAcentral lists this ribosomal RNA (410 nucleotides) under uncultured bacterium. RNAcentral's name for it is "bacterial SSU rRNA". It matches the Rfam family "Bacterial small subunit ribosomal RNA", at positions 355 to 775 of the family's 1533-position model. The record is from RNAcentral.
UGGGGAAUCUUGCACAAUGGGCGCAAGCCUGAUGCAGCGACGCCGCGUGGGGGAAGAAGGCCCUCGGGUUGUAAACCCCUUUCGGCAGGGAAGAAGCCGCAAGGUGACGGUACCUGCAGAAGAAGCCCCGGCCAACUACGUGCCAGCAGCCGCGGUAAGACGUAGGGGGCGAGCGUUGUCCGGAUUUAUUGGGCGUAAAGCGCGCGUAGGCGGCCCGUUAAGUCGGGUGUGAAAAUCCGGGGCUCAACCCCGGACUUGCAUCCGAUACUGGCGGGCUGGAGGCAGACAGGGGAGAGCGGAAUUCCUGGUGUAGCGGUGAAAUGCGCAGAUAUCAGGAGGAACACCGGUGGCGAAGGCGGCUCUCUGGGUCUGUCCUGACGCUCAGGCGCGAAAGCUAGGGGAGCAAACAG